UAUAUAUAUAUAUUGUAGAAUUACUAUGCUAUUGAAAGUAUAGAGAAUUUAAUGCUUCCGAUUUUUUGACACUUGGAUCAAAAAUUAUACAGUUGAGAUGAUUGCGGUCCCCUCUAGGAGUGGAUAAUAUCCCUAGCAUUGAGUGGUCCCUAUAGAAUAAUAGUAUUAAUCCAAAGAUUAGAAAUGAUUAAAAGAGCUUAUCUAAGGACCAAAAAGUCGAAAAUACCAUAUGCUUUAUGCUUCCGAUAGCAUAGUAGCUAGUCUACUCUAUAUAUAUAUAUGUAUAUAUAGUCCGGCUAUUAUAUUCUUAUGAAUUUAGACACCUUUAUAUCCAUAAGUUUUUGACCGUUAAAUAUAUCCGUUUGGUCAUUUCAAUCCGUUNAGUAGGGCUGCUGUGCUCUCAGGAGCACGGAGGCCUCCGUACUCCUGAGUCGUUUUCGAUGAUAGAAUUUUCGAAUCGACGAUCGGCUCCGUUAGACUUGAUCUAGCGUAUUUGAAGUUUUUAGAAAAUAAUUUUUGCGAUUUUUUGAUAUGAUUUACCUAGCAAUCGAAAUGAUUCAAAAUCAAUAAUUUUUAACGGCUGAAAAUAAAAAUUCUAUAAAAAGUGGUGAUAUAGCACUAAAAUUUUCGAUCAGAAAUAUUGAUCUUGUUGUAGAUAGUAUAAAAAUUUUUGUAUCAAAAUUUCAUCUGAUUUGAAUACUUCUACACCUAAACUUGAAAACGGCAUAUAUCAACCAUUAAAAAUUAUUGAUUUUGAAUCAUUUCGAUCACUAGGUAAAUGAUAUCAAAAAAUCGCAAAAAUUAUUUUUUAGAAACUUCAAAUACCCUAGAUCAAGUUUAACGGAGUCGAUCGUUGAUUCGGAAGCUCCAUCACUGAAAACAGCUUAGGAGCACGGAGGCCUCCAUGCUCCUAAUAGCACACAAGACCUACUCUAUAUAUAUAUUAAGGAAUUGAACUAGAAUACUUUUAGAAGCAUCAUCCCCUAGGUGCUAUUAGGUUUUUAGUUUUUUGAUCUACUCAUUGAUUACUAAUAGUUUUUGGAUCAAAUACUAUUUCACCUACCAUCAUCUAUCACCAUCAUUUCAACCAUACAUUUUUCCAUCCAAAGAUUAAAAAUUUAAAAGCACCAGCUUUUUAGUACUUUUGAGAGUAUUCUAGUUCAACUUUAUAUUGAGACAUUCCGACUGACGGUUUAGCCAGCAAAAGGUAAACCGGCAGAAGAAAUCGGCUGAUAAAAAAAUGUAAACUUAUUAUGUCCAACUUUAUUAGUAUAUAUAUUAAUUUUUUAUAUUUUGUUGACUACCUCAGUGUGAGCUUUUUGAGCAUGAGGGAUAGAAGAAGACUAGAAGAGAAAAGGUACGGUAGAAUCGAGUUUAUAAAACUAGAAAAAUACUACCUUUACAUUUUAUAUAGGAAAUACAUCUUACACUCUUGUAUUUCAGGAUUGAUAAAUUUUUGAUAAAUUUUUUUUUUUAAAAAAAGACAAGUAAGAUAAUAUAGAUAAUAACAAAGAAGCCAGGGCGUAAAAUUUACACCUAGACUACAAGCUAGGUGCAUGUAUUGGUAUAGUAUUACUCAUAAAAGAUACUAGUAGAUCUGGAUGGGGUUAGAUACUAUUCAUAAAAUUAAAUGAAGAACUAAUACCACAGGUGGGGUUGGGUACUAAUACUAUUCACAAUCACAAAAUUAUAAUUUUUUAAAAUAUAAUAUUAAAUUGAAGUGACUAAUUAAUAGUUAAAACUUGAAGAUCUUUAAGAAUUGAAAAGACAAAAUAACUUACGCCAUUAUCUUCUGNUAAUGUUCGAGGGAGAGCUUACUUCCAUUGGGUGACAAGGGAACAGGGCUCCUUUGGUUGGUUUAAAGGUGUAAUGGAUGAUGUCGCAGAGAGUGACCACAAUGUGAGUCCUCCGUUUAAACUGUUUUCCUGUUUAGUCUUUCUAACCUUGCCGUUCCUCCUAAGAGGGUUGUUGAUGAAUGAUAAAUUUGAAUAUUUUGCAGCACAUUAUAGAAAUGCACAAUUACUUGACUAGUGUGUAUUUUGAAGACAAUGAAAGGUCUGCUUUGCUUGCAAUGGCUCAGGAGCUUCGGCACGCCAAAAAUGGUGUCAACGUUGUAUCAGAAAGCCGGGUAAAUACUUGCUAAAAUUAAAUGAGAACACACUGGCAAAAAAAAAAAAGUAUAUUUUAUAAACUUAUGCCUUUUUUUUACUACAGAUAAGGUCACAUUUCGGAAGGCCAAACUGGAGAAAGGUGUUUUCUAAUUUGGCCAAUGCACACAAGUGCUCUCUUAUAGGUAUGUGCCACCACAAACGACUCACUUCAUAUGGGAAGAAAUAAUUUAAUCUUUACUACAGUGGGAGUAGCAUUCAUGAUUCAGAUGGCUAUAUGUAUAUGAGUAUCGUAUCAUGUUUUGCAGGCACAUGGCUUCGAGUAGACUCAAAAAUCUAUUGUUAAUUAUCUCCAUGAGAUUGGGACACUUUCGAUUAAGAGACCUUCAUAAUGUUAAUGAAAACGGCUAUAGUGAUUUGUAUUAUGGUAGCACCUUAGUUAUAUGUGCUAAAGCGUAUAAAGUGAUUAAGUCCUAAUUAUAUGUGCUAGGAUAAAAUGUUUGAUUUCGUUGAGCUACGUGUAUGUUUUAGAGCUCAGUUGGGUCCCACCCUAAGGUGAAUGAUUGACCAACUACUAAGUAUAUGCCAAGGAUUAAGUUGAGUUUGAUUUAAGGUUGACCGGGAAGUAGAUCAAGACCUGGUCGAUAUUAGACUCAAGGGCGCAUUCGGUUCAAAAUUGGAAUCUGAAUCGAAAUUGAUCGGAAUCAGAUAUAGAAUGAUAUUUUGGGUUAGAAUAACAAUUGGAAUAAUUGAUUCAAAUUUUUAUUGCUUGGUUGAGACGAAGAAAAUUUUGGUUAUAAAAAAAACUAAAAUAAAAUUGAAAUUAAAAUAUAAAAUAUAAAAUUAAAUUUAAUUGACUUCACAACUUAAAAUAUAGAAUUACAUUUACAAUUUAAAUUCAAACUAAAAUUUAAAUAUUAAAAAUUAACAUCAAAAUUUUGGAACGAUAAGCCAAAAUUUAAAAUGUAAAUAUUUUUUUAAAAAAUUAAAAGUUAAAAUUGAAUUUAUAAUUCAAAAUAUAAAAUUAAUUUACAAUUUGAUAAACUUUAAACUUACAAUUUAAGGUUAAUUGCAUACAACUUGUAAACAUCGCGAAUUGCAAUUCUAUCUCUACGAAGUUCGAUUUUCUUAUAUUAUCCCUGCAAAAGUCCAGUGAUAUUCAUAUGUCCCUCUGGUUUGUUAUCGUUAAAGAACUGUUUAGUUUUUAAUAGCAGAUAAGUGAAAUGUCAAUUUUGACAUCACAAAUAUAUCCCUCCAAAAAUUUCAACUAUUACAAUCGUGUAGAAAUAUCUCUCCGAAAAAUUUUCAAUAGUUAUCUUCUUCCUCAUCAUCUUUCUUUUUAAAAUUCAAUCUAAGAGUUCUCAUUGCUAAAAUUUUGAUUGAGAUACGAAGGUGUAAUAUAAAAUAAUUAAAAUAUCAAUUUAUGUUAUUGACUAAUCAAGAUUAAGUGUUUUAUCUAUAGUUAAUUAAAGUUUUCUAAUGAAUCCUAACGAUAAGGAUGUAUUUAAAAAUAUUUUAACUUUUAUAAAAAUAAUAUAAGAAAGUUAGAACUUUGUAGGAAUAUAUUUAUAAUUUUGUUAUUUUUAUAGAAAGUUAUAUGUAAUUAGUCUUUUAAAAAUAAUAUAAGAAAUAAGUUAGAACUUUGUAGGAAUAUAUUUAUAAUUUUAUUAUUUUUAUAGAAAGUUAUAUAUAAUUAGUCUUUUUUCUUUUUUUUGAGAGAUAAGUAGCACGCUACCCGUUUCGUUUAUUUCAUUUAAAAAUAAAUUUAGCUGGAAAUGUGAAUCAAUAAGAAUUCGAACUUAAAAUUUUAGAUACUAACCAUCAAUUUUUUUGCCACUUGUUCUAGGGACAGAUCAGUACAUGUAAUUAGUCUUAGAUUUAAAUAGGAGUAGUUACACAUUGCAUCUCGAGAAAGUAUCAUUUAGUGUUAGUCAAUAAAGUUAUUCAAGUUAGAAAAAUAUUUUAUUCACCUUCUUUUAUUUCACAAUAAGCGCAAGAUCACGUGAUCGUCCAAGCCGGUCUCCGCCACCAAGUGUUAGUCAACAAAGCUAGUCAUUAUUAGCUGAAUUUAAGUUAUUUAAAUAUUAUUUUAUUCCACAGAAAGAAUUAGAGGAUUCCAAUAUUUCGAUCAAAUGAUAUUUCAAUUCUCAGUUUCUAAGAUCGACACAUCAAAUUUGGGUAAGAACUACAGUAUUGUUGUAUUAUUAAUUAGCUUGUAUAUUUCGAUACAUAUCUACUUUGGUUUUUGGUUUUAUUUUGUUCUGUUUUGUUUUUUUUUUUAAAUUAUUGUAGGUGGCUUGCAUCAUUAGCUUGUAUUUUCCGACUCAUAUCUACUCUGUAGUUUUUAUCCUUUGUUAGGUGGCUAAUAUCUUUGCCCACAACAACUACAAACCUAAUAUAUAUAUAUAUAUAUAUAUAGAGAGAGAGAGAGAGAGAGAGAGAGAAUCCUGCUAUAAUACUAUCAUAGCACCAAAUAUUUUAUAGUACCAAGUUUUUCACUGUUAAAUUAUUUUUUUAAUCAUUUUCAUCCGUUAGAUCAUACUAUUCAACUUUAGAGGACUACUAUAAUUCUAACCGCAUAUUGCUUCACCCAAGGCCGAAAGUUUAAUAGUACCAAUAUAUAUAUAUAUAUAGAGAGAGAGAGAGAGAGCAGGACUGCUGUGCUCUAAGGAGCACGAAGGCCCCUGUGCUCCUGAGCCAUUUUCGAUGAUGGAAUUUUCGAAUCGACGAUCGGCUCCGUUAGACUUGAUCUAGCGUAUUUGAAGUUUCUAGAAAAUAAUUUUUACGAUUUUUUGAUAUCAUUUACCUAACAAUUAAAAGGAUUCAAAAUCAAUAAUUUUUAACGGCUGAAAAUAAAAAUCCUAUAAAAAGUGGUGAUAUAGCACUAAAAUUUUCUAUCAGAAAUAUUGAUUUUGUUGUAGAUAGUAUAAAGAAUUUUGUAUCAAAAUUUCAUCUGAUUUGAAUACUUCUACACCAUUAAACUUGAAAACGACAGAUAUCAACUAUUAAAAACUAUUGAUUUUGAACCCUUUCGAUCACUAGGUAAAUGAUAUAAAAACAUCGCAAAAAUAUUUUCUAUAAACUUCAAAUACGCUAGAUCGAUUCUAACGGAGCCGAUCGUCGAUUCGAAAAUUCCAUCAUCGAAAACGGCUCAGGAGCACGGAGGCCUCCGUGCUCCUGAGAGCACAUCAGUCCUGCUCUCUCUCUCUCUCUAUAUAUAUAUAUGUAUAUAUAGUCCGGCUAUUAUAUUCUUAUGAAUUUAGACACCUUUAUAUCCAUAAGUUUUUGACCGUUAGAUAUAUCCGUUUGGUAAUUUCAAUCCAUUAGAUCAUAAUAUUCAAUCAACAACUCACUCAACUCUAGAAAAUCACUAUCAUCCUAACCGCAUAUCCCUUCAUCCAAUGGCCGACAAGCUAUGAGUACAAAAGAGUCUAUACUUAUAAGAGUAUAGUAGCCCUACUCUCUCUCUAUGUAUAUAUAUUAAAAAUAUUUCAUAAAUAUAUAUAAUAAUAUAUAUUACAUAUUAUAAUUAUAUGUAUAUAAAGUUUUAAUUAUCGGGCAUAUUUGUUGACCCACAAAAUUAAACCAGUAAAAAUCUACUCUAAUUUCUUUUUCUUCCUCUUUUUUACUUGCUCGCAUAGCCGCUUUUCCUGAAUUAUUUUUUCUUAAUAUUAUGAUACUGUAUUCAUGCAUUUGUUUUGUAUGUUGAAUUAUUAGAUAUAUUUUUAUUAAAUAUUAAAUAAU
This 5852-nucleotide long non-coding RNA is filed under the name Ananas comosus (pineapple). RNAcentral's name for it is "long non-coding RNA (ACOM_LNC008047)". Lineage: Eukaryota; Viridiplantae; Streptophyta; Magnoliopsida; Poales; Bromeliaceae. The record is from RNAcentral.